UACGGAGGGUGCAAGCGUUAAUCGGAAUUACUGGGCGUAAAGCGCACGCAGGCGGCUAAGUCAGUCGAUUGUGAAAGCCCUGGGCUUAACCUGGGAAUUGCAGUCGAUACUACUUAGCUAGAGUAUGGGAGAGGGCAGUGGAAUUCCCGGUGUAGCGGUGAAAUGCGUAGAUAUCGGGAGGAACAUCAGUGGCGAAGGCGGCUGCCUGGCCCAAUACUGACACUCAGGUGCGACAGCGUGGGGAGCAAACAGGG
RNAcentral lists this ribosomal RNA (254 nucleotides) under uncultured bacterium. RNAcentral's name for it is "partial 16S ribosomal RNA". It matches the Rfam family "Bacterial small subunit ribosomal RNA", at positions 524 to 777 of the family's 1533-position model. The record is from RNAcentral.